RNAcentral lists this long non-coding RNA (3793 nucleotides) under Musa acuminata (dwarf banana). RNAcentral's name for it is "long non-coding RNA (MACU_LNC005874)". The record is from RNAcentral. Lineage: Eukaryota; Viridiplantae; Streptophyta; Magnoliopsida; Zingiberales; Musaceae.
GUCCUGAUCUUUCCUUACUGUAAUUUUAUCUCUACAUUUGCUUUGAAUAUGAGGAACUUUAAAUUGUUCUAGCCUUGCAUUUGAUAUAUCUCCUGUUUAGACGUAACGAUUCGAAUCUGUGAAUUCUGCCAAACAGAGAUUCUGCCAAACAGAGAUUUUGUUCAGCGACCCUUGUUUACCAAUUUAUUUGUAACUCUCUCUGUUGGAUAGUUCAAUUCAUAUGAAGCUUGUUUUAUCUGGAAGUAGAUUGAAAUAUCUUUCCAAUGAUAUAUUUCUGAGUAAAUUGGAGCACGAUUGAUAGUUUGAAUCAUUUGUUCAAUGUGCCUCUUGAAUUCUGCCAGAAAUUGAGCUUUGGUCGAUUUCACAUAUUCUGGUUUCAUUCCUUUGGAAAUUAAUAUCCUUUAGCCUUCUUAUUCAAUUGAGCUUUAUAUUACUGCUUUGAAUUCUUGUAUCUCUUGUCCUUAAAAUCAUUUGUAUUCUUGAAAACUAUUUUGUAACGUUUAUGCUAUAUCGUAUUAACUCAUAUAGGCACAUGUAUAUCCCAUUGUUCUGUAUUUGCUUUCGAUAUGUUCCUAUUCCAGUUUCAUUCCUUUGGACAUUGAAUUCAUCUAACCUUCUUAUUUGAAUUGAGUUAUAUGUGAUUGCUUGGAAUCCUUGAAUGCUCUUGCUUUCAUUUCCUUUUAAAUUUGAAUACAAUUGUGAAAGAUUAUUGCUUACUUCGUAUUGACUCGUAAAUGCACAUGUACGUUUUAUUGUUCCGCGUGUGCUUCCGAUAUGUGCUAUUCAUUGUUCAUACUAUCCUUUUGUACUCUGGUGUUUGUGGGAUAUUGUGAACAUUUGCCAGAAAUGGUGAAGGGAGUUAUGCAUAGAGCUUGUGAUGCUCUGCCGGCCCUUAUGACUUCACUCAGACGUGGGUGGAUGGAGCUCCCAGACGUGGGAGACUUAUGUUUGGUGGUCAUUCAGAAAUGGAUGUACCAUAUUAUGUUAUGGUCCCACUUCACAUUCUAUAUGUUUGAUAUGGUAUUCAAAGCUUUGGUUAUGUGUUUCUAUACAUGCUUUGGAUAAUAAUGAAAUGAAUGCAAUGUCGAUUCGACGUUUGAGCUUAUGUUUCAUAUUUGUUCUUUGAAAUGCUCUGAAAUGCUCCAUACACCUUUCAUAUGUUACGAAAUGUUUCAUUUAUCAUUGAUAUGCUCCGAAACAUUUCAUACGCUUUUGAUAUGCUCCGAAAUGUUUCAUUUGCUAUUGUUAUGCAUCGAAAUGUUCUAAAUGUAGUUGAUAUGCUCCGGAACAUUUCAUACGCUAUUGAUAUGCUCCAAUUACUCUAUGCUCCAUCUGUUAUGAACCAAAUAGGUUUUGAAUGACAUGACACAUAUGAUUUUGUAUCUAAUGAGAUGGUAUCCUUGAGAAUUCUUGUAUUCUGCCUUGCAUUAUGAUAUCUUACUUGUUUGAAACCAUUCCUUUUGUUUCGAAUAUGCUUUGUCACUUGCUGAGCUGUUUUUAGCUCACUCCGUUGUUAUAAAAAAUCUUUUAGGUCAGCUUGUCACUCUUUGAGAUGUUUGAAUUGGGCUGAGGCAGUGGAGAGCUAUUCAGAAUUAUGGGCAAGUCUUAUUGGUUAUUAUGUUAUUGUUGUAUAAGCAUAUUUUGUAUGUAAUGAAAUAUUAUCGAUAAAUCGAAAUGGAUAUACUGUGUAAAAGUGUUAGAAGAUCUCUCUUAUUUGGAAUUUUAAAAUUUUAAGUCUAGUUUAUGAUGAUAUGAACUUAUGGUGAAUAGUUGGAGUUCUGAUUGUAUAAUUUAUUUAGCUUGUGGAUUUAUAAAUGUUGUUUAUGUUUGUCAAGUUGGCUUGGGUUGCCAUAAAUGUGAAUUAUCGAGUGAUAUGAUAUAUGAUUAUAAACUGCAUAUGUUUUAUUGAUGUGAAUUUGAUAGAAUGUUUUUCAGUGUCCUCAAAUGUUAGUUUUGAUCCUGGAUUGGUUUGUGAUGAAAAUUUUAAAAUCAUCGAUAUUAUUUGAGGGGCAUGACAAAGGUGGUAUUAGAGCAUGGUUUGAGGAUCAAAGAGAAUAAUAUUACGAUCACUCUUGGAUAAUUGUGUAAUUGUAUUGUAUUGAUGAAACUAUUUGAGAGCAGGAGAAGGAAAUAAAGAAAUCAUAAUCCUCAUCUUUUCAUCGAUUGAGCUAUGACCAAUUUAGAUGACUAAAUUUUCUUUUAAGGGGGGGAGAGUGUAAUAUCCCUCACUUUUGAAAAUUUAUUAAUAAGGAUUUAUAUGUAAAUUGGAGGACCUAUAUGUAAAUAUAGAAAUUUCAAGGACUAAAUUGUUAAGUUACAAAAAGAAAAAAAAUAAAGAAAACCAAAAAUUUAAGUUUUACCCGACCGCCUCCCACGCUCUCUGUUCCCGAAAGAAGAGAAGAGCUGUGGGGCAUGGGGAGAAGAAGAAGAGAAGUAGAGAGAGAAGAGAAGAAAAGAAGAAGAGGGAAAAAAAAGAGAAAGAAGAGGGAGAAGAGAAGAAAAGAAGAAGAAGAAGAAGAGAGGGAAGAGGGAGAGGAGCGAGAGGUGGCAGCAGCUAGGGCUGCAGAACCUCUGUUUCUUGCAGGUGGAAAUAGAGGAGAGGCGUGGGGCGUUCGAAGAGGAGAAGAAGAAGAAGAGGAAGAGAAGAAAAAGAGGUUUUGAUACCUCUGUUUCCUGCAGAGGAAACAGAGGAGAGGGUGUGUGUGACGCCCGGGAGGAGGAGGGAAGAAGAAGAGGAGAAGAAGAGAAGGGAAAGGAGGAGCUGCGGCUACAGCAGUGGCAGCUGCAGUUGGAAGAGAAGGAGAGGAAGAGAAGGUGAGGAAGAAGAGAAGGAAGAAGGGAAGGAGAAGGAAGAAGAGAAGGGAAAGAAGGGGCUGCGGUUGCGGCUGUGGUAGGGAAAGAGGAAGAGGAAGGAAGAAGGGAAGGAGAGGAAGAAGAGAAGGGGAAGAAGGGGCUGCGGCUGCGGCGAUGGCAGCUGCAGCUGGAAGAGAAGAAGGAGAGGAAGAUAAGCAGGGGAGGAAGAAGAGGCUGCGGUUGUGGUGGCCGCGGCCAUGGCUGCGACUGCGAUUGCGGCAGUUGUAGCUGGGAAAGAAAAGAAAGGAAAGGGGGAAAAAGGGGCUACAGAUGGGGUUACGGCCGCGACAGUAGCGACUACAUAUGCAGUAGCUAUGUCUUUGAAAGAAGGGGAGGAAGAAGGUAGUGCGGUGGAAGGGGCUGCGACUAUGGCAGCGGCAGCGUCGGUGGCUGUGGCAGCUGCGUUUGGGAAAGAAACCGAAGGAAUGAGAGUAAGAGAGAGUAGGUGACUAUGCCUCUAUGUUCUGCAUGACUACAGUUGUAGAGGAAAAAGAGAAGACAUAUAUAGAAAAUGAAAUAGGGAGAGGACAUGGAGGAAAAGUAGAAGGAUUUGGGCUGACACCUUCUUUGGAUCUUUGAAUCAAAAUCUUUGAAAGGCAAGUGUUCUGAUCCUUUCUAUUGCAAAUGUCCUAGUCUUUCCUUACUGUAAUUUUAUCUCUACGUUUGCUUUGAAUAUGAGGAACUUUAAAUUAUUCUAGCCUUGCAUUUGAUAUAUCUCCUGUAUAGACGUAAUGAUUCGAAUCUGUGCAACUUUUGAGAUUCUGACCUUUUGAUACCGAGCUACCUAUAAGUCUUUGUUGGAAACUCUGAUUUGUUCAAAACUGGUUUCAUUGGAAACUAGACUCGUAGAUCUUUCUUUUUUUUUGGUAAGUAAAAGUAAAUUGAUUAUGUGUAAAGUUUCUACAAAUAGCUUUAUCUAUACAAGUCAUAUACAAAGCCA